CCUGUUUGAGAAUCUAAAGUAUUCUUUUUCCCUAGUGACUGUCAGAACAGACCUUGGUCUGGUUAUGAUACCACUAGGGAAAGAUUUGAGGCUUCGCUCUUACCCAGCGUGCCUUUAAAACUAUAGCUGUCUAAGCUAUCGCUGCAUAGCGCUUCGCAGAACAGUAUGUGAAUGAACCUAUUGGUUUCCCUAAUGCUGGCUAUGCUGGUGCUGUUAGUGUAGUGGUCUGGGUUUAGUCCCAAGCAUAGGCACUCAACUAUGAAGUAAAGGUCCGACUAAGUCGUGUCCAAUACUGAACCAUGGUCUCAAAUCAGGUAGGAGGACCCGCUGAACUUAAGCAUAUCAAUAAGCGGAGGAAAAGAAACUAACAAGGAUUCCCCUAGUAACGGNGAGUGAAGCGGGAACAGCUCAAAUUUGAAAUCUCACUGUUUCGCAGUGCNAAUUGUAGUUUAGAGAAGCGUUUUCUGAGGCAUUCUCGGUACAAGUUCUUUGGAACAAGACUCAUAGAGGGUGAAAAUCCCGUCUUUGAUCGAGAGUCUGUCUCUAUGUGAUACGUUUUCCAAGAGUCGGUUUGUUUGGGAAUGCAGACCACAAUGGGGUGGUAAAUACCAUCUAAAGCUAAAUAUUGGCGAGAGACCGAUAGCGAACAGUACCGUGAGGGAAGAUGAAAAGAACUUUGAAAAGAGAGUUAAUAGUACGUG
RNAcentral lists this ribosomal RNA (701 nucleotides) under uncultured fungus. Its description in RNAcentral is "eukaryotic LSU rRNA". The stretch from base 301 to 701 matches the Rfam family "Eukaryotic large subunit ribosomal RNA", at positions 1 to 401 of the family's 3401-position model. Lineage: Eukaryota; Fungi. The record is from RNAcentral.